This 468-nucleotide ribosomal RNA is filed under the name uncultured bacterium. Its description in RNAcentral is "partial 16S ribosomal RNA". It matches the Rfam family "Bacterial small subunit ribosomal RNA", at positions 28 to 523 of the family's 1533-position model. The record is from RNAcentral.
GAUGAACGCUGGCGGCGUGCCUAACACAUGCAAGUCGAGCGAUUCUCUUCGGAGAAGAGCGGCGGACGGGUGAGUAACGCGUGGGUAACCUGCCCUGUACACACGGAUAACAUACCGAAAGGUAUGCUAAUACGAGAUAAUAUGCUUUUAUCGCAUGGUAGAAGUAUCAAAGUUUUUGCGGUACAGGAUGGACCCGCGUCUGAUUAGCUAGUUGGUAAGGUAACGGCUUACCAAGGCGACGAUCAGUAGCCGACCUGAGAGGGUGAUCGGCCACAUUGGAACUGAGACACGGUCCAAACUCCUACGGGAGGCAGCAGUGGGGAAUAUUGCACAAUGGGCGAAAGCCUGAUGCAGCAACGCCGCGUGAGCGAUGAAGGCCUUCGGGUCGUAAACUGCUUUUAUGAGUGAAGAAUAUGACGGUAACUCAUGAAUAAGGGUCGGCUAACUACGUGCCAGCCGCCGCGGUAA